UACGGGGGGGGUAAGCGUUGUUCGGAAUUACUGGGCGUAAAGGGCUCGUAGGUGGCCAACUAAGUCAUGCGUGAAAUCCCUCGGCUUAACCGGGGAACUGCGUCUGAUACUGGAUGGCUUGAGUUUGGGAGAGGGAUGCGGAAUUCCAGGUGUAGCGGUGAAAUGCGUAGAUAUCUGGAGGAAUACCGGUGGCGAAGGCGGCAUCCUGGACCAUUACUGACACUGAUCCGCGAAAGCUAGGGGAGCAAACGGG
RNAcentral lists this ribosomal RNA (253 nucleotides) under uncultured bacterium. Its description in RNAcentral is "partial 16S ribosomal RNA". It matches the Rfam family "Bacterial small subunit ribosomal RNA", at positions 524 to 776 of the family's 1533-position model. The record is from RNAcentral.